AUGAACGCUGGCGGCGUGCCUAAUACAUGCAAGUCGAGCGAACAGACGAGGAGCUUGCUCCUCUGACGUUAGCGGCGGACGGGUGAGUAACACGUGGAUAACCUACCUAUAAGACUGGGAUAACUUCGGGAAACCGGAGCUAAUACCGGAUAAUAUAUUGAACCGCAUGGUUCAAUAGUGAAAGACGGUUUUGCUGUCACUUAUAGAUGGAUCCGCGCCUCAUUAGCUAGUUGGUAAGGUAACGGCUUACCAAGGCAACGAUGCGUAGCCGACCUGAGAGGGUGAUCGGCCACACUGGAACUGAGACACGGUCCAGACUCCUACGGGAGGCAGCAGUAGGGAAUCUUCCGCAAUGGGCGAAAGCCUGACGGAGCAACGCCGCGUGAGUGAUGAAGGUCUUCGGAUCGUAAAACUCUGUUAUUAGGGAAGAACAAAUGUGUAAGUAACUAUGCACGUCUUGACGGUACCUAAUCAGAAAGCCACGGCUAACUACGUG
Molecule: ribosomal RNA, 496 nt
Filed under: uncultured bacterium
Lineage: Bacteria
Description: partial 16S ribosomal RNA
Rfam family: Bacterial small subunit ribosomal RNA
Source: RNAcentral